GGUUCAAUGGUGUAGUGGUUAUCACUCCUGUCUUACACACAGGCGGUCGUCGGUUCGAUCCCGGCUUGAACCA
Molecule: transfer RNA, 73 nt
Organism: Phanerochaete carnosa HHB-10118-sp
Lineage: Eukaryota; Fungi; Basidiomycota; Agaricomycetes; Polyporales; Phanerochaetaceae
Rfam family: tRNA
About the family: Transfer RNA (tRNA) molecules are approximately 80 nucleotides in length. Their secondary structure includes four short double-helical elements and three loops (D, anti-codon, and T loops).
Source: Rfam